RNAcentral lists this long non-coding RNA (232 nucleotides) under Physcomitrium patens. Its description in RNAcentral is "long non-coding RNA (PPAT_LNC008565)". Lineage: Eukaryota; Viridiplantae; Streptophyta; Bryopsida; Funariales; Funariaceae. The record is from RNAcentral.
UAAGAACAUUGUUAUUUUUUCUAAUUUGUUUUGUUUUGUUUUGUUUAUUUUUGUUUUUUUUUGUUUUUUUCAUAUAAGAUAAAAUGACUCAAAAAAAAUGUCUCCAUGUUUUUAAAUUUGACUUUUUUUUACCUUUUCUUAAAAUAUAAAAAUAUAUACAUACUUAGUCCAAUAAAUAAAGUUGUUGUAUAUAAUUUAAAAAUAUUUGUUGAUAAAGAAUUCUCUAUAAAUA